Molecule: unclassified non-coding RNA, 2535 nt
Filed under: Leishmania donovani
Lineage: Eukaryota; Euglenozoa; Kinetoplastea; Trypanosomatida; Trypanosomatidae
Description: gene:LdHU3.30.1380(CDS-product:protein_kinase_put ative)
Source: RNAcentral
CCGCGCUUAACUUACAUGCGCAGCGCCUCUCUCUGAGGACUCUCAUCCAUCAGCUAUCACAUAAAGACCGUUGCUCAAUCAGCAACUUUACAGAGGUGGUGAUGAACUCACAAGCUUCUUCUUCACCUCUUCCUCCAGCCGCUUCGUGCGUGCAGUUCCGGCCUGAGCAGCUUCAGCUCGGCACAGGGAUCCCUCUCGGCUCCGGCGCUAUUAGCCAAGUUGUGCAGUGCCGUCUACACUGCGCCGCCGCGCCCUUGCUGCCGGUCGUGGUGAAGGUCGUCUCCAAGAUCCAGGUGCUGCAACAGGGUAAGGUGCAGAGUGUCAUGAACGAGAAGGCGACGCUGCAGCGCCUCGCUCCGUUUCCGUAUGUGGUCCGUCUCUACGGCACCGCCCAGUCCGAGGACGAGCUUUACUUUGUACUCGAGUGGCUUCCCCAUGGCGACCUGCUGCAGCACAUCCGAUACGUGGCACAGGAGCGUGUGCGGCAGUACAACGAGGAGGAGGCAGCAGCUGGAUCGACUGCUAGUAUGCCUAGUCCCGGUGCAGUAGCCGGUGGCACCACUGGAUCCGUGCCGGACGGUGCCCCGGUGGCGGAAGCAUCAGCGUCGACAGGUCCGUCUAAACGGGCCACGGCAAUUCCGGCCAGCAGCACGGCGCUCCGCUGCCUCGACUUUCAUGACAUUCAACUUAUAACGGCACAGCUGGUGCUAGCCCUCGAGCACACCGCCGACAGGGGUGUCGUGCUGCGUGACUUGAAGCCCGAGAAUGUGGCGUUCGAUGAGAAGUACCGCGCCUGCUUGCUGGACUUCGACACUGCGGACCUCGAGGGGGCCGUGAAUAUGCCGGAGACGAACGGCGGCGUAGCAUGCCCUCCACCGGUGGAUGCAGCUGCCGUUGAUGAAGCCGAAAGCAGCGAUGGCGGCGGUGGACACGCAGCAGCAGAGAACGGCGGCGCUUCUUCGUCUUCGCGACGGCGCCGCCUCACGGUCUCUCAAAUCCACCGUAUGCGGAGGAAAACGGCGAGCUUCUGCGGCACGGCGCACUACGUUUCACCGGAGAUGGUGGGGGAGUGCAAGUGGAGCUUCAGCAGCGACCUAUGGGCCCUCGGUGCACUCGUGUACGAGUUGGUGUACGGCGAGCACCUCUUUUCUGGCAUGACACCGUUUGAAGUCCUCCAGAAGGUAGUCCACGGCAGCUACGUGGAGAGACACGAGCUGUUUCCGCACAUCCACUUUGCCGACGACGCGGAUGGGGAAGCGGAGCAGUGCUGCGGCGAGCGUCGCUUCGCUGCUGUGAAGGAUUUCAUCCAGCAGCUGCUCUUGACGGACCCGCAGAAGCGGCUUGGCGUGCACCCCGACACGCACCGCUUCGACGCCACGGCGCUGCGCCGCCACGCGCUGUUCGACGGCUUUCAAUGGGAGCCGGUGGAGGCGCAGCUGCGCACCUUCCGCAUGCGCCGAUUCGACUUGGGGAGCUCGAAGGCGACGAGUGCUGCCUCAGGCGACGCGAGUUGUGAUGCGCGAGAGGCUUCGAAUGACGCUUCAGGUGCCUCGUCUGCAGCGCUGAAGUCGCUUGUAGCCGCGUGCGUCGAUCCAUCUGCAUCGCUCGCCUCGUGCUACCACAUCCUCCCUUUCAACGACCCCGCCUACGCAGAGUAUGUGUAUCGCGCGACGGCGGAUGCCAACCCGUUCGAGCAGUUCUUUACUCAAGAGGACACCGAGCCGGCACCCACGGCAGCGGCAGCAUCACAUGAGGCAGCGGGCUCAGCGGGUGGCAGCGCGCCUGGUGCAGUGCCGACACCUGCGGUGAAUUCCAGACCCGAGGCCGCCUCUGUAGUGGACGACGACGAGGUGGAUGACGUCAUUGAUGAUGUGGGCAUGCACUACACCGGCCGCCCCGCCGACAAGUACUUUCAGGACUACCGCGACACUCCCUGAGGUGGCAGUGCUGUGUGCCUGAAGGCCUUCUAUCUUUUUCUUGAGAGGUGCGUGUGGGAGGGGGGCGGUGUGGGGAUAGGGUGGACGGCGGUGGUGCCCACCCUCUUUUCUCGCCUUGCCCCAACCCUCCCUGGCUGCAUCACCAACGAGGUAGACUUACUCUCCUACUUGUUGGCAGCGCGGGCAGAUGGGAGGGCCAGGCCAGCAGAGGCACAUCCUCAUCACACCGUCGUCGUAAAGGUAUACGCAGCCGCACCUCAAACGUACGCGUGCUUGUGUGGGAAUGGCGAGCGGCUGUAGCGCUUCUCUACCUCACCUCGCCGACGCUGCUCAAACACACGCGUACGCACAACAUCAAAUGCAACUGAGGUGCCUCUUGGAUGGAGGUGGGCACGCACACCUCCGUACGAUGUAAUAGCAGAUACCUACCUGCCUCUGUGCGUGCGUGUGGGGCUGUGCCGAGAGAGGGAGUACUCGGCUUCGAUACCCAACCCAUCGCAUGGCGAGGUUUUUCCUCUUCUCUCUCUGAUCGCACAAUCACCCAUCACGAGAGAUGCGUACACGCAAGGUGCUUGCACAGCGACGUUAGCAGCAUGCC